CAGCCGCCACGGGAAUACGAAGGGGGCUAGCGUUGCUCGGAAUGACUGGGCGUAAAGGGCGCGUAGGCGGAUUGUUUAGUUAGGCGUGAAAUUCCUGGGCUUAACCUGGGGACUGCGCUUAAUACAGGCAGUCUAGAGUGAGGAAGAGGGUUGUGGAAUUCCCAGUGUAGAGGUGAAAUUCGUAGAUAUUGGGAAGAACACCGGUGGCGAAGGCGGCAACCUGGUCCUUGACUGACGCUGAGGCGCGAAAGCGUGGGGAGCAAACAGGAUUAGAUACCCCUGUAGUCCCUGUCUCUUAUAA
This 301-nucleotide ribosomal RNA is filed under the name uncultured bacterium. RNAcentral describes it as "partial 16S ribosomal RNA". It matches the Rfam family "Bacterial small subunit ribosomal RNA", at positions 509 to 809 of the family's 1533-position model. The record is from RNAcentral.